AUUAAUUUACAUCUUCAUCGCCAGGGAAUUACGAGCAAUGCUUAAAACCCAAAGGAUUUGACGGUGUCCCACCCCGCUAGAGGAGCCUGUUCUAUAAUCGAUGAUCCCCGCUUCACCUAACCAUCCCUCGCCCAUCAGUCUGUAUACCUCCGUCGAAAGCUUACCAUGUGAACGCCCGCAGUAAGCUUAAUGAUCCACCAUCAGCACGUCAGGUCAAGGUGCAGCUUAAGGAAUGGAAAGUAAUGGGCUACAAUUUCUAACUUAGAACAAACGAAAGACUAUGUGAAACCCUAGUCAUGAAGGUGGAUUUAGUAGUAAAAAGAAAGUAGAGUGUUCUUUUUAACCCGGCUCUGGGACGCGUACACACCGCCCGUCACCCUCUUCGAUGGUACCUCAUUUGUCCCUAACCCAACACUACAUUUUAGAAGAGGCAAGUCGUAACAUGGUAAGUGUACUGGAAAGUGCACUUGGUACACCACAAAAUGUAGCUUAACAAAAGCCCCUCGCUUACACCUAGGAGAUGUCUGUUAAACCCAGGUCAUUUUGAGCCUAAAAUCUAGCCCACAAAUUCUCAUGUCCUCCCGCAUCCCAUAAACAAAUAAACAAAACAUUUUAACAUCUUAGUACAGGCGAUCAAAAAAUUUCUAAGCGCUUCAGAUAAAGUACCGCAAGGGAAAGAUGAAAUAGAAAUGAAAUAACCCUAAAGCCUUAAACAGCAGAGACA
RNAcentral lists this ribosomal RNA (724 nucleotides) under Rana sauteri (Taiwan groove-toed frog). RNAcentral describes it as "partial 12S ribosomal RNA". The stretch from base 1 to 483 matches the Rfam family "Bacterial small subunit ribosomal RNA", at positions 852 to 1533 of the family's 1533-position model. Lineage: Eukaryota; Metazoa; Chordata; Amphibia; Anura; Ranidae. The record is from RNAcentral.